Molecule: long non-coding RNA, 653 nt
Filed under: Salmo salar (Atlantic salmon)
Lineage: Eukaryota; Metazoa; Chordata; Actinopteri; Salmoniformes; Salmonidae
Description: lncRNA (ENSSSAG00000111646.1)
Source: RNAcentral
AUAAUGUUGUUGGGUCUGUAACCAUGAGGAGGGAUACUAUAUAAUGUUGUUGGGUCUGGAACCAUGAGGAGGGAUACUAUAUAAUGUUGUUGGGUCUGUAACCAUGAGGAUGGGAUACUAUAUAAUGUUGUUGGGUCUGUAACCAUAAGGAGGGAUACUAUAUAAUGUUGUUGGGUCUGUAACCAUGAGGAGGGGGAUACUAUAUAAUGUUGUUGGGUCUGUAACCAUGAGGAGGGAUACUAUAUAAUGUUGUUGGGUCUGUAACCAUGAGGAGGGAUACUAUAUAAUGUUGUUGGGUCUGUAACCAUGAGGAGGGAUACUAUAUAAUGUUGUUGGGUCUGUAACCAUGAAGAGGGGAUACUAUAUAAUGUUGUUGGGUCUGUAACCAUGAGGAGGGGAUACUAUAUAAUGUUGUUGGGUCUGUAACCAUGAGGAGGGAUACUAUAUAAUGUUGUUGGGUCUGUAACCAUGAGGAGGGAUACUAUAUAAUGUUGUUGGGUCUGUAACCAUGAGGAUGGGAUACUAUAUAAUGUUGUUGGGUCUGGAACCAUGAUGAGGGGAUACUAUAUACUGUUGUUGGGUCUGUAACCAUGAAGAGGGGAUACUAUAUAAUGUUGUUGGGUCUGUAACCAUGAGGAGGGAUACUAUAUAAU